RNAcentral lists this ribosomal RNA (380 nucleotides) under uncultured bacterium. RNAcentral's name for it is "bacterial SSU rRNA". It matches the Rfam family "Bacterial small subunit ribosomal RNA", at positions 30 to 410 of the family's 1533-position model. The record is from RNAcentral.
AUUGAACGCUGGCGGCAUGCCUUACACAUGCAAGUCGAACGGCAGCACGGGAGCAAUCCUGGUGGCGAGUGGCGAACGGGUGAGUAAUAUAUCGGAACGUGCCCAGUCGUGGGGAUUACGUAGCGAAAGCUACGCUAAUACCGCAUACGAUCUAUGGAUGAAAGCGGGGGAUCGCAAGACCUCGCGCGAUUGGAGCGGCCGAUAUCAGAUUAGGUAGUUGGUGAGGUAAAGGCUCACCAAGCCGACGAUCUGUAGCUGGUCUGAGAGGACGACCAGCCACACUGGGACUGAGACACGGCCCAGACUCCUACGGGAGGCAGCAGUGGGGAAUUUUGGGACAAUGGGCGCAAGCCUGAUCCAGCAAUGCCGCGUGCAGGAUG